This 68-nucleotide transfer RNA is filed under the name Sternocampsus coriaceus. RNAcentral describes it as "tRNA-Trp". Lineage: Eukaryota; Metazoa; Arthropoda; Insecta; Coleoptera; Elateridae. The record is from RNAcentral.
AAGGAUUUAAGUUAAAUAAACUAGUAACCUUCAAAGUUACCAUUAAAGAAGUUCCCCUUUAAGCCUUA